This is a long non-coding RNA of Papaver somniferum (opium poppy), 3633 nucleotides long. RefSeq lists it as uncharacterized. NCBI's taxonomy places the organism in Eukaryota, Viridiplantae, Streptophyta, Magnoliopsida, Ranunculales, Papaveraceae. The transcript is spliced from 4 exons. The record is from RefSeq and is a predicted model, not a curated record.
AAAUCUCCCUAUAUUGAUGCUAAAGACAACGUGAGAAGAUAAAUCUCUUGAGAUAUGAGACCUGAAUUGAAGAACGAAACCGGAUGAUCGCCAUUAAACUCAAAUAAGAUAAGCUUUCUUCCUAAAUUAUGUUUAUCUUUGAUUAGAUUGAUUUUUAUGAUUCUGAAAAAUCAAUUUACGGUUUUAAAAAACUUGAAAUAUAUGUUUCAAUUCGAAGUUUAUAUUCGAUCUUAAUCUGCGUAUAGAUCUGUAACAUCUAAUUGUUUUAAUCUUUCUUUUGAGAUAGAAAUUUUAAAAUUCUUGAGUGCAACUCGAUUCAACAGUUAGAAUAGAUCUGUAACAUCUAAUUGUUUUAAUCUUUCUUUUGAGAUAGAAAUCUAGGGUUCUUGAGUGCAACUCGAUUGAUCUUCUAUUCUUUAAUGUGGAUCGAAAUUUCGACUUCAGAUUCUUCGUCAUUGAAUCUUUAUCUCCACUACACAUCAAAUCGUUUUGUAUUCCACUUACUUUUAGAUUUAGAUCUCGUGUGAAUUUUUAUCUGUUUGAUGAAUCUUUGUUUCUAACUGUUGAAAGUGCAAGAACUAGAUUUAAUAUAGAAUUAUGAUAUCCAAUUAAAUAUUUGUAUCUCAAUUUUGUUGUCAGGUCUUCAGGAAUAUCUACCAGAACCUGCAUAAAGAUGUAGAGAUCAAUUUUAAUGGCUAAAAGUAUCACAAUAAACAAGAAUAAAAUUCUCUAAGAGUAAUACCUGGUUAUUGCCUAAACAUAAUCAAGUAUGUUUAAAUGUACAUCUAUGAUUCAACUCAUUUUGGUGAUGGAUAUGAGCGAUGGAGCAAGGGAAAAUUAAGCAGUAAUAUACAUCUAUGACUACAUAAUUUUCUCCACUUUAAUGCAGAGAUGUACCUAAACUUUGCUACCAUUUAAAUGUGCAGUACUUCAUUUAUUAAAGAGUACUUUCAUUUUUGAUAGCCGCCACUCUCAACUAAUUUAAUAUGUAAAAUGCAGAAUCAUAAUCUGAAAUUGUCGCAUGGUAUUUUAGAUAAUUGGCAAAGUGAGUGAUGUGUUCGAAAACUUACCAUUUGAGUUGUUACUUCCAUUUGGCAGGAAGUUGAAAUUAUCAAUUUUCAAGGCUAGAUUAUCUAUUAUGGUGAUGAUGAUUAGCUGUGUUACGGAAUCAAGCAACACAGGCAUGGUGGGCAUAGAGUUCGGUUAUGGUGCAACUCUGAUUUGCUCCAGCUGAAUGGAGAGACUGGAGACAAGGAUAACUCAGUCAGUAGCUUCCAAUGUUGCCCAGGCAGAAGUCAAAUGUGAAUAUUAAUGAAUACUAUUGUAAGUACAUUUGCAGACUUUUUACUAACUCUCCCAUGUGAGUAUUGAAACCAUUAGAAAAGGAAUAUAGAUAGAAGAUGAUAAAUUACCACAACAACAAAUGCUAUUUAGAACGAUAUUAUACACCAACUGUUUGUUAUAUGUUUGAACUAAUGCUUUAUUUUCUUGGCAUGCUUACUGAGAGAAAAUUCAUAAAAGCUAGUGGAAGUUGGUCGUUUUUGUACAGCUGCACUGUCUUUUUAGCCUUGUCCCACUAUGUUAGUGAUACUAUAUAUGACAGCUGCCUCGGGAGUUUAUUUUCUUAUUUUAUCUCUUAAUUUUCUUUUGACUUGUAUAUGCUGAGUUAAAUGCUAGGCUAUUCAUUUAAAAAUAAGAGAAUUGGCUACUUCUCUUGAAACACGGGUGAGAUUUCCGAAGCCAGUACUAAAUGAAGAAAGACAAGUCCUUUUUGUACUUGCAGUUGUCAGUGGUUUAGAAAAUUUUGAAAAAUAAUAUGCCCGUGGGAAAACGCAGAGUGGUAAGAUUUUGCUGUUACUUGAUUCGCAAUGAUGAUAUGCCACACAAAAAUCUUAACCACAUAUACACUCAUCUGAAUAUUCCUUCACUAUUUUGAAUUUGCUCUUACUUGAUUGUGCGUCUGCGAUUUUGCUCUUAAUUGCUUUUAAAAUUAGCUUUUGCCUUGCAUAGUUUUACGCAUGUUGAUCUUAAUGUGUACAUAACUGUGCACAUUUAGAUUUAAAAAAAUUCUUAAUGUGUACAUUAUUAUACACAUAAUGAUUUAGAAGAAUUUUAAAUUAGAUCACUUUUCUUAUGAUUAAGUCCCCAUGUUGAUCUGAAUGUGCGAUUAUAUUAAAGCUUUUAGUCAAGAAUUUUGAAUGAGAUAAAUGUAGUGUUGUUAUUAAUCUCCAGUCGUCAUUAAAGUUUUCAGUCAAGAAUUUUGAAUUAGAUAACUUUUUUUAUGAGUUAAGAACAGUUUGGUAUUAUUUCACACUUGUCCACAUUCACUCAGUUCUACUAUUUUGGUAUUAUCUCUACAAUCUACAGAUACUUUAAAGACUUGCCUUACUAGUUUAUGCACAUUUUGUUUUUUGAAUUACUAAAGUGUACAUAUUUGUAGACAUGUUAGAUUAUUUGGGUGUACAUAGUUGUACACACAUGUUUGUUAUUUAGGUGUACAUAGUUGUCCACAUGUUUGAUUAUUUAGGUGUGCAUAUUUGUACACUACUACACUUGCAUAACUAUAUUUUAUAUAUACAAAACAAAAAUUAGGGAAAGCACUAAUAUGUACAAGUGUUGGAUUUUUUGUAGGUACGUACAUAGUUGUACACCAAUAUUGUGCUCUCUCAUAAUCUUAGUAGUCGUUUAUUAUGUUUUGAUACUACUUUUUAUGAAGCAACUAAUGUCUUGCAGAAAAUUAGUUUAGAUCAUCUGACAAGUUUUCUUAAAAAACUACUAUUGCAUUAUUGACAAGUUGAAACUGGUGGGCUUUUAUGUGUAGUAUGUAUUUUUGUACUGGCUCUACAAGGUGUAUUUUCUCAUAUACCAGUUAAAUAGCUAAUGAGUUGUUCUACUUUUUCUUCCAUGGGUUGGUUUUCGCAUUUGUAUUGUUACCUGUUUUCUUUAAUUGUAAGUGCCAAAGAUAGAGAACGACAUGCACAACCUUCCCCCAUUGGGUGAGAUUGAUUGAUGUUGAAGCACUGAAAAAAAAAAGACUUGCUGAUAUAUUACCUCAUGUUAUUGUAUGCUUGCAUUAAUGAGUUGGGAUAAGUAAUGGCCGAGAACAAAGGUCAUGAAUACUGACAUGGAUUAUGGGAAUACAUUAUUGGGUAUCCACAAUUCGAUGCCGAGACGCAAAAUGAAACAUUUAAAAGGUGCAGCACUGUUGUUGGAUCGCAAUUCGAGAUUUGUUGUGCCAGAAGAUUGAUAUGGGCUGUAUGCGAUUGAUUGCUUGGGUCCUGACUUGUUGCUUGGGCUGACUACAUUUUGUAAAAACCACGGUAUGUUGAAUUACCAUUACAAAAAUUAACAGUAGAUUGGAAAGCUACAGAAAUGGAUAAAAAUUUUGUUUUGAAUGGUUGAGGUGUUGUAGUUGUUUACAGCAACAGGGUUAAGAGUGGUUGAGCAUUGGAGCUGGUGUUGGUACUUGUUAAUGAGUUUCGAUUGUAAACAUGUUGUAUUUUGUAGAUGUGUACAUGUUUGUACACCAAUGUAAAUGAAGUUUUUAAAAAAAAAUGUGAAUUAUAGUCAUAUGGGUACUCUAUUUGUAGCUCUUGGUUUUAUUUUAUUUUUAUAUUAUUUAAACUUCAGACA